UGCUCGCCCGAGCUGAGUAGAGUGGCAUCAGGUUGGCGGUGCCCAUCGCCUAUCAGCAAGGGACAAAGCAAUCCCUUGUUUGUCCCAGCUUGACUUUUGGUCUGUGCCCACAUCUGGUCCAUGCCUUGGAAACACUG
Small nucleolar RNA from Prolemur simus (greater bamboo lemur), 137 nucleotides. Lineage: Eukaryota; Metazoa; Chordata; Mammalia; Primates; Lemuridae. The record is from Ensembl.